Molecule: long non-coding RNA, 204 nt
Filed under: Phoenix dactylifera (date palm)
Lineage: Eukaryota; Viridiplantae; Streptophyta; Magnoliopsida; Arecales; Arecaceae
Description: long non-coding RNA (PDAC_LNC000764)
Source: RNAcentral
UCCUAAAACUGAUCCGAAUAAGCGAUUUUCCCAAGUUACCAAACCGCAGUGGAAGUCCUAAAACUGAUCCGAAUAACCAAACAGUAACAGUUAGGGGGGGGGGGAAGCAAGCUAAGGUUCCGGAAAGUGACCGUAAAAGCAGAAUUAUUAGGGCCGGAAGCCGCACCCGGCCAUGCCUCUGCCUGAGCCUGUCUUGAAUUUUUU